Molecule: long non-coding RNA, 983 nt
Filed under: Cricetulus griseus (Chinese hamster)
Lineage: Eukaryota; Metazoa; Chordata; Mammalia; Rodentia; Cricetidae
Description: lncRNA (ENSCGRG00015041332.1)
Source: RNAcentral
GCGGGGUUAAAGAAAGGAGAGGAGGCGUGGGCUGCGCUGUGCUGUCGCUGGAGGCGCUCCCGGCGGCGCCUGCCUUGGUGCUUGCUAGUUGGUCGCCUCCAGUGAAAGGUCAUGGCAGGACCCAAGCGAACCUGGACAACUACCCUUAUCCCAGCCUCGGGACUGGAACAGCUGUGAGAGGAGACGAGACUCCCUGCAGAGGGCGGAGAUGACGUUAGCCUGACCAGACUCACACAAGUUUCUCUAUGUAGACUUGGCUCUCCUUAUAGACCAGACUGGGUUUCUCUGCGUAGCUUUGGAGCCUAUCCUGGCACUCGCUCUGGAGACCAGGCUGGCCUUGAAUUCACAGAGAUCCGCCAGCCUCUGCCUCCCGAGUGCUGGGAUUAAAGGUGUGCACCACCACUGCCUGGAGAUCCUUCUACUUCUUAAUCCUGAGUGUAUACAACCACCUCCUAGCUUCUGGCUGCUGGGAUUAAAUAUGUGUGCCUGGCUUCUAUGGCUUGUGGCUAACUUUGCUUUCUGAAUCUUCAGGCAAGCUUUAAUAAAUCAUAAUAUAUCACCACACUGUUUUCAAUCUUUUUCCACCACUUCCUCCUCCUCCUCUUUUCCCCCCUUCCGGUUUUGUAACAGCCCUGGCUGUCCUAGAACUCACUUUGUAGACCAGGCUGGUGUCACCCUGCCUCUGCCUCCCAAGUGCUGAGAUCAAAGACGUGUGCCACCACUGCCUAGCUCCUCCUCUUUCAAAAUUACAGGAUCCCAACCCAGGAAAUAGUGAACUGGUGACUCCCCUUCACUCAGCAGGAAGAUCUAUCUUUCCAUCUCAAUUGACCUAGUGAAAUAAUCCCCAUAGAAAUGCCCAGAGGCCCCUUUUCUACCUCAUCAAGGUGACAAUGGAAAGUAACCAUCACAUCUUAUAUUAAUAAUAGUUUGAUUGUAAAUAGCAAUUUCCUGAUUUAGGCUGGGCAUAGUGAGCAGUAUAUGCC